GACGAACCGUGCGAACGUUGUUCGGAUUCACUGGGCUUAAAGGGCGCGUAGGCGGACAGGCAAGUCGGGGGUGAAAUCUUUCAGCCUAACUGGAAAACAGCUUCCGAUACUGCCUGCCUGGAGGGAGGUAGGGGCGCGUGGAACUCAGGGUGGAGCGGUGAAAUGCGUAGAUAUCCCGAGGAACGCCGGUGGCGAAAGCGACGCGCUGGACCUUUCCUGACGCUGAGGCGCGAAAGCCAGGGGAG
Molecule: ribosomal RNA, 245 nt
Filed under: uncultured bacterium
Lineage: Bacteria
Description: partial 16S ribosomal RNA
Rfam family: Bacterial small subunit ribosomal RNA
Source: RNAcentral